GCAGAUAUGGUGUAAUUGGUAGCCACGAUAGACUUAGAAUCUAUUGCAGAGAUGUGUUAGGGUUCGAAUCCCUAUAUCUGCACCA
RNAcentral lists this transfer RNA (85 nucleotides) under Candidatus Onthovivens merdipullorum. Its description in RNAcentral is "tRNA-Leu". It matches the Rfam family "tRNA". Rfam says of the family: Transfer RNA (tRNA) molecules are approximately 80 nucleotides in length. Their secondary structure includes four short double-helical elements and three loops (D, anti-codon, and T loops). The record is from RNAcentral. Lineage: Bacteria; Bacillati; Bacillota; Bacilli; Caryophanales.